GAUUUACUUCACUACAGUAUAUUGAAAGUGUUAAAUUAGAAAAAGAUUACUGUAGAUGGCUAGCUUAAAGCUAUACAGAAUCUAUAAUGAAAACAAUAGGCCUUUUCACACUGCAUUGUUCUAAACCCUGGGCAAUCUUAGCCCCAUGUGAACAUGCCUAAUGGCUCCAAUCCCUCCAUGGCUGGUUUGUUUCUUUAGAAAACAAUGACAGUUGAAUAGCUAACCACUACGCUAUGUGAACUACGCUAUGUAAAUCGAAAUCGAGAGCAAUCUGUUCAUUGUCGGUGCAGUUCAUCCAUCGCAAUAUAACCAUAAACACUUAUGUUCGUUGUCAGUUCAGUUCAUCCAUCGCAAUAUAACCAUAAAUAAACUGACUGUCAGGCAGGCAGGCACAUUCGCUGUUCUUGGCCAGCUCCGGUUAAGCGGUCUGGUAAAAAUAUGUAGUUCUGAGGUGCAAACAGAAUAGUAGUAUAUUCUACACAAACAGUGUUUGGUCGGUGCCGGAGCUCAGUAGAGCUGAGUAUUGGACCCUCAUAUUCUCCUGCCUGAGCAUUUUUUCAUUUUACAGACCAUUAGGUCAAAGCUAAUGUUGAGCCACGGCUGUAAACAGUAAAGGCUACCAGCCACCAGCACUGUAUUUCAGUGAGGCAUUGCAAAACAACGCUCAUUUAUAGUCAUUAAAAUGUGUAAAUUCCCAGGUCAUUCCAGAUGUAGGGUCUGGAGCAGCUGAAGAGCAAAGAUGAGCAACAGCUGAACAUCGAGAGGAGCACUGCACAGAGAUCCCUGCUGAUUAUGUGAAUCUGAAGGAGCUUCUGGAAGCUAGUCAGGAGGAUUGUGAGGAACUGAAAGAAAGAUUCAUGGAAGUUCUCUCAAGCCUGGACUUAGAGAGAAGUGAAAAUGCCAAGAAGCGAUCACAGCACAAAACCAAAAUGCAGCGAGCUAAACAGAUAUUCUUUAAGGAGACAGGAUGGCGUGAUGAGAAAAUAAGAAACCUUGAAAGAGACCUAGCUCUCGCCUUAACUUCAUCCACCCGGGAAAAAGAGAUGAUCGGGAACAUGAACAAGGAAAAUGAGAAAUUGUUGGCGGAAAAGAGGGAUCUGCUUGGAAGGCUAAAUGAUUUGGAGGAUAAAACUUACAACAGCGUCAUUUCUGCUACAGCCUCACAAUUCAGUGUGGAUUUCUUGGAGAAAGAAAAUAAGCACUUACAAGAAACUAUAGUGGAGAUGUCCCGUCUGAUACCUAGCGGAAAAGCAUUGCAACACGCUCUGAAGAAUCUCAAAAUAUCACGCAGCACUGAUGUACAGGAAUUGAAGAAUUUUUUUUCUUUUGACAGCCCAGUUGUAAUGCCUUGCAUUCAGGAAACCAGGAAAUUUCAGCCUGGCUCAUUGGAUGUGAGAGGCCUUCUAGACAUCAUUCAGAGGAGCAGGUCCAGUCACUCAGAGGAUUCCAUGUCUCCGCUCUCUACACUAACCAGGCAUCCUGUGGAGAUGGGCUAUCUGAACGUGACCCCGUCCACAGGAAUCUGCGACAAAAAUCUGAACCUGACCUCUGCUCUUACCAGGGCUGACCAUCAGAUCCUCUCAGACACCAAUUCGGACGUUGAGGAGGUUUGAGGACAUUCAGGCAGAGACAAUCAACCGAAGAACCUUCAUACAAUCUAUCGAAGUGAUUGUGUAUAUAAAAGUGACCGUAAAGUUAAACAAGGAGCACUAAAUGUAACUAAAAUGUAACUUUGCACACCAGUUCACUUUGUAAUUUGCAUUAUAGGUGAAAAUGAGGUUGUUCAUUAUGUACUGGAAUUAAAGUGCGGACUAGAUAUGUGCAUGUUGAGCGUGGAUGUAAUUGAGAGAGACUGUGUAUCCAUGGUGAGUGCGUGAGUGAGCUAGUGUAUGUUUUUCAUAGUAGAGAAUGCAAAAGGGCACCAAAGGUUGGACUAUCUGACAGGCCAGAUAGUCCAACAGUCUUAUUUAUGAUGCCAGUGUACUGUAUCUGUUGAAGUUAGUAGCAACGAGAACUGUCCAUGGCUUGGUUGGCUGAUGCCAGUGUACUGUAUCUGUUGAAGUUAGU
Esox lucius (northern pike) is the source of this 2067-nucleotide long non-coding RNA. NCBI's taxonomy places the organism in Eukaryota, Metazoa, Chordata, Actinopteri, Esociformes, Esocidae. The record is from Ensembl.